AGUAACACGUGGAUAACCUGCCUAUAAGACUGGGAUAACUUCGGGAAACCGGAGCUAAUACCGGAUAAUAUAUUGAACCGCAUGGUUCAAUAGUGAAAGACGGUUUUGCUGUCACUUAUAGAUGGAUCCGCGCCGCAUUAGCUAGUUGGUAAGGUGACGGCUUACCAAGGCAACGAUGCGUAGCCGACCUGAGAGGGUGAUCGGCCACACUGGAACUGAGACACGGUCCAG
Molecule: ribosomal RNA, 231 nt
Filed under: uncultured Staphylococcus sp.
Lineage: Bacteria; Bacillati; Bacillota; Bacilli; Caryophanales; Staphylococcaceae
Description: partial 16S ribosomal RNA
Rfam family: Bacterial small subunit ribosomal RNA
Source: RNAcentral